UGUCCCAUAGUAUAAUGGUAGUACAACUGAUUUUGGUUCAGUUUGUCUAGGUUCGAAUCCUGGUGGGACAA
Molecule: transfer RNA, 71 nt
Filed under: Chitinophaga filiformis
Lineage: Bacteria; Pseudomonadati; Bacteroidota; Chitinophagia; Chitinophagales; Chitinophagaceae
Also listed under: 3 other names
Description: tRNA-Gln
Rfam family: tRNA
About the family: Transfer RNA (tRNA) molecules are approximately 80 nucleotides in length.
Source: RNAcentral